This 77-nucleotide transfer RNA is filed under the name Clostridiales bacterium. RNAcentral describes it as "tRNA-Val". It matches the Rfam family "tRNA". Rfam says of the family: Transfer RNA (tRNA) molecules are approximately 80 nucleotides in length. The record is from RNAcentral. Lineage: Bacteria; Bacillati; Bacillota; Clostridia; Eubacteriales. RNAcentral also lists the same sequence under 1 other name.
GGGGGCUUAGCUCAGCCGGUCAGAGCGCAUGCUUCACACGCAUGAGGUCACUGGUUCGAUCCCAGCAGUCCCCACCA